This 1110-nucleotide ribosomal RNA is filed under the name uncultured Chloroflexota bacterium. RNAcentral describes it as "bacterial SSU rRNA". It matches the Rfam family "Bacterial small subunit ribosomal RNA", at positions 15 to 1151 of the family's 1533-position model. The record is from RNAcentral. Lineage: Bacteria; Bacillati; Chloroflexota.
GAUCCUGGCUCAGGAUGAACGCUGGCGGCGUGCUUACACAUGCAAGUCGAACGGGAACCUUUGGAUUCGUCUGAAGGGGAGAGUGGCGAACGGGUGAGUAACACGUGGGUGACCUGCCUCGAAGACGGGGAUAACUACUGGAAACGGUGGCUAAUACCCGAUGGUCUCGAUAAUUCGGUUUAUCGAGUAAAGGCUCCGGCGCUUUGAGAGGGACCUGCGGCCCAUCAGCUAGUUGGUAGGGUAAUGGCCUACCAAGGCAAAGACGGGUAGGGGGCGUGAGAGCGUGACCCCCCACACUGGCACUGGGACACGGGCCAGACUCCUACGGGAGGCAGCAGUGAGGAAUAUUGCGCAAUGAGCGAAAGCUAGACGCAGCAACGCCGCGUGGGUGAUGAAGGCCUUCGGGUCGUAAAACCCUUUUCUGGGGGAAGAGUAAGGACGGUACCCCAGGAAUAAGCCUCGGCUAACUAUGUGCCAGCAGCCGCGGUAAUACAUAGGAGGCAAGCGUUAUCCGGAUUUACUGGGCGUAAAGAGCGUUGAGGCGGCUUCGUAAGUUGGACGUGAAAGCUCCCGGCUUAACUGGGAGAGGCCGUUCAAUACUGCGGGGCUUGAGGACAGCAGAGGGGGGUGGAAUUUCCGGUGUAGUGGUGAAAUGCGUAGAUAUCGGAAGGAACACCAGUGGCGAAGGCGGCCCCCUGGGCUGCUCCUGACGCUGAAGGCGAAAGCUAGGGUAGCGAACGGGAUUAGAAACCCCGGUAGUCCUAGCCGUAAACGAUGGAUACUAGGUGUAGGAGGUUAAAAUUCCUUCUGUGCCGGAGCUAACGCGGUAAGUAUCCCGCCUUGGGGAGUACGGUCGCAAGGCUUAAACUCAAAGGGAAUUGACGGGGGCCCGCACCAAGCAGCGGGAGCGUGUGGUUUAAUUUCGAUGCAACGCGAAAACCCCCCCCAGGGCUUGACAUGUAGGUAGUAGUGAAGCGAAAGGCGGACGAUUCUUUCGGGAAGCCUACACAGGUGCUGCAUGGCUGUCGUCAGCUCGUGCCGUGAGGUGUUAGGUUAAGUCCUGUAACGAGCGCAACCCCUGCCGUUAGUUACAAGUGUCUAACGGGACUG